GCCAGACACAGUGGUGCACGCCUGUAAUCCCAGCGGCUUGGAGGCUGAGGCAGGAGGAUCAGGUGUUCAAAGCCAGCCUCAGCAACUUAGGGAAGCCCUAAGCAACUCAGUGAGACCCUGUCUCUA
This 126-nucleotide small RNA is filed under the name Marmota monax (woodchuck). The record is from RNAcentral. Lineage: Eukaryota; Metazoa; Chordata; Mammalia; Rodentia; Sciuridae.